This 142-nucleotide ribosomal RNA is filed under the name uncultured Alphaproteobacteria bacterium. RNAcentral describes it as "partial 16S ribosomal RNA". It matches the Rfam family "Bacterial small subunit ribosomal RNA", at positions 537 to 678 of the family's 1533-position model. The record is from RNAcentral. Lineage: Bacteria; Pseudomonadati; Pseudomonadota; Alphaproteobacteria.
AGCGUUGCUCGGAAUUACUGGGCGUAAAGGGAGCGUAGGCGGACAUUUAAGUCAGGGGUGAGAUCCCAGAGCUCAACUCUGGAACUGCCUUUGAUACUGGGUGUCUUGAGUGUGAUAGAGGUAUGUGGAACUCCGAGUGUAG